RNAcentral lists this long non-coding RNA (513 nucleotides) under Monodelphis domestica (gray short-tailed opossum). RNAcentral's name for it is "lncRNA (ENSMODG00000033394.2)". The record is from RNAcentral. Lineage: Eukaryota; Metazoa; Chordata; Mammalia; Didelphimorphia; Didelphidae.
GCUCUAUGCUACCUAUAAAGGGAAGGAAAAAAGGAAUAAGUAUAAUACCCACCAGGUGCCAAGUGUUGUGCUAAGCAUUUUACAGUUUAUUCACAAAAUAUUAACUUACAAUAACUUACAAAAUAUUAUCUCAUUUGAUCCUCUCAACAACCCUGUAAGGCUUGUGCCAUUAUCAUCCCCAUUUUGUUGUUGAGGAAACUGAGACACACAGAAGUUUCUUCAACAAACCAAGCCAAAAAUGAUAUCCAAUAGAAGGCACAGAUAACGUCUGUAGCUAUUGUGAAACAUUGUAACUGUGGGAAAAGUCCCAUCUUCCAAACAGCCUAACUAGAAGCCACUGGGAAAGGAAUGAGCUGUGCUGGAAAGAGAACGGUGCUGAUGAGAAUCACCAAAGUCCAUGGCAAGACAAAAGUCAAGAUGAUUGGUUCAGUGUUUGACCAAUCUCUAAGUGCUCUGCAGCAACUGCUUCAGCUACCUUCAUGAACACUGGAAUAAAUCGUUCUCAUCUGCCCA